AAUUUAUACAGAAGAAGGGAGAGUCAGGCUCUGUGAACUUCUGGCAACUUCCGGCAUCCGGAUAAGUGCCUAACCUGGUCUAAACAAUAUUUAGAAACUAUAAAUU
RNAcentral lists this non-coding RNA (106 nucleotides) under Sphingobacteriales bacterium. RNAcentral's name for it is "SAM-I sequence". It matches the Rfam family "SAM riboswitch aptamer (S box leader)". From Rfam's summary of the family: The SAM riboswitch is found upstream of a number of genes which code for proteins involved in methionine or cysteine biosynthesis in Gram-positive bacteria. Lineage: Bacteria; Pseudomonadati; Bacteroidota; Sphingobacteriia; Sphingobacteriales. The record is from RNAcentral.